AACGGCCAUACCAUGCUGAAUAUACCGGUUCUCGUUAGAUCACCGAAGUCAAGCAUCAUUGGGCGCGGUCAGUACUUGGGUGGGUGACCACCUGGGAACACCAACGUGCCGU
This is a non-coding RNA of Caerostris darwini, 112 nucleotides long. NCBI's taxonomy places the organism in Eukaryota, Metazoa, Arthropoda, Arachnida, Araneae, Araneidae. The record is from the annotation of a GenBank genome assembly.